This 361-nucleotide long non-coding RNA is filed under the name Mytilus galloprovincialis (Mediterranean mussel). The record is from RNAcentral. Lineage: Eukaryota; Metazoa; Mollusca; Bivalvia; Mytilida; Mytilidae.
CCUUGCUCCAGUGUAUAUUUUCAAUUUUUUCUUUACAAUGUUUAAGUCUACCCAACCAUAUACCUUCUGUCUUAGAUUUAUUCACUUUUAAACCAGAAAUCGUUCCAAAUAUUUCUAUUAGGUUCAAUGCUUGGUGAAUUUCAUUUUUAGAAUUGAGAAAGAGGGUUGUAUCAUCAGCCAAUUGGGAAAUGUUUAGACUAUGUGUUUUUUCAUCAAGUUUAAUUUGAAAUCCUUUUAUGUUAGAGUCUUGUCUUACUCUACAGGCCAAGAUUUCAACUGCUAUUACAAAAAUAAGAGAACUUAACGGACAUCCUUGUUUUAUACCACGGUGAAGUCUAUAGGUUUCUGAGAUCCAGCCGUU